GACCAUCAGCAGAGAAGCAGAAAGGAGGCAAACUCAGCUAUGUAGGCAAGUGGGGCAAGAACCAGGAAAUUCAGAGUUUCACUGUUAAUAUAAUGUAAGAACAUGGAUGUUACAUCCAAAUGAAAGGAUCUUCUGUAGUUUGAGGUGUAGUCCUCUGUCACAGCAUUGAAGAUUCAAUCAUUGUCAUCAAUGCAUAGAGAAGAUGCAUUUUGAUCCCUUGAUGCCACUAGGAUCUUAGGCAGGACUGGGUUGGAAGAAGGCCCUGGCACUGUCACUCCUUUAAUAAUUGCCAUGCACAUAGAAAGUGGAGUUCAAGACAAAAUGAGCAUCUCUAAGAAGACACUAGGUAGAAAGUUUCUUCCCAUUCCAUUUCUGUCAUUCCUCAAGAUGAAUCAGAAAGACCUAUGGAGAACAGAGGUACUUGCUGCAAAAGUGUCUCUUCUUGCUUCGUCCAUGUAUACAAGAUUAUAAAAUGUACCUCGAAUUCAAGUCAAAGAAAUGAAAGAGUUGAGGGAAUACAAACAGGAACUGAACACUGUUCUAGACCUGGAGAAACUGAGAUCAACUGGGAUUAAAUGAGAUUAAAAUCCUGGCCCUGAACUGCAGUCCUCUGGUUAGAUUCCUGCUUCCAGCCAUCUCUAAUGCCACCUGCUAUCCUGCUUGGCUCUUUUGGGGGCUCUGCACUGCCCACAUGCCUGGUUAUUUACCUCCUGCAUCUCCCUGGACAUCGUUUUGUUACCUACUACUGGAGCCAGUCCCAACCUGAUAGAAUGAUCAGGUUUGGAGGUUUUAACCUUCUCUUGGUUGAUCCAUCACCAAUGCCAAAAGAACCCUGGUUCUGACCCUAAGCCCACUCCUAAUCCAGUUGGAGACAGAGAAAUAAAGAUGAAUGGAGGAGAUGGCAAUCAAGC
Molecule: long non-coding RNA, 911 nt
Organism: Pan troglodytes (chimpanzee)
Lineage: Eukaryota; Metazoa; Chordata; Mammalia; Primates; Hominidae
Exons: 4
Source: RefSeq, a predicted model, not a curated record